UACGUAGGGUGCAAGCGUUAAUCGGAAUUACUGGGCGUAAAGCGUGCGCAGGCGGUGUGCAAGACCGAUGUGAAAUCCCCGGGCUUAACCUGGGAAUGGCAUUGGUGACUGCACGGCUAGAGUGUGUCAGAGGGGGGUAGAAUUCCACGUGUAGCAGUGAAAUGCGUAGAGAUGUGGAGGAAUACCGAUGGCGAAGGCAGCCCCCUGGGAUAACACUGACGCUCAUGCACGAAAGCGUGGGGAGCAAACAGG
Molecule: ribosomal RNA, 252 nt
Filed under: uncultured bacterium
Lineage: Bacteria
Description: partial 16S ribosomal RNA
Rfam family: Bacterial small subunit ribosomal RNA
Source: RNAcentral